CAACCCUGAUCCAGCCAUGCCGCGUGAGUGAAGAAGGCCUUCGGGUUGUAAAGCUCUUUCGGACGGAAAGAAAUCGCCGCCUCUAACAUAGGCGGUGGAUGACGGUACCGUAAGAAGAAGCACCGGCUAACUACGUGCCAGCAGCCGCGGUAAUACGUAGGGUGCGAGCGUUAAUCGGAAUUACUGGGCGUAAAGCGCACGUAGGCGGAUCGUUAAGUCAGGGGUGAAAUCCUGGGGCUCAACCUCAGAACUGCCCUUGAUACUGGCGAUCUCGAGUUCGAGAGAGGUUGGUGGAACUCCGAGUGUAGAGGUGAAAUUCGUAGAUAUUCGGAAGAACACCAGUGGCGAAGGCGGCCAACUGGCUCGAUACUGACGCUGAGGUGCGAAAGCGUGGGGAGCAAACA
This 404-nucleotide ribosomal RNA is filed under the name uncultured Hyphomicrobiales bacterium. RNAcentral's name for it is "bacterial SSU rRNA". It matches the Rfam family "Bacterial small subunit ribosomal RNA", at positions 378 to 774 of the family's 1533-position model. Lineage: Bacteria; Pseudomonadati; Pseudomonadota; Alphaproteobacteria; Hyphomicrobiales. The record is from RNAcentral.